RNAcentral lists this ribosomal RNA (468 nucleotides) under uncultured bacterium. RNAcentral describes it as "partial 16S ribosomal RNA". It matches the Rfam family "Bacterial small subunit ribosomal RNA", at positions 28 to 507 of the family's 1533-position model. The record is from RNAcentral.
GACGAACGCUGGCGGCGUGCUUAACACAUGCAAGUCGAACGGAAAGGCCCUGCUUUUGUGGGGUGCUCGAGUGGCGAACGGGUGAGUAACACGUGAGUAACCUGCCCUUGACUUUGGGAUAACUUCAGGAAACUGGGGCUAAUACCGGAUAUGAGCUCCUGCGGCAUGGUGGGGGUUGGAAAGUUUCGGCGGUUGGGGAUGGACUCGCGGCUUAUCAGCUUGUUGGUGAGGUAGUGGCUUACCACGGCUUUGACGGGUCGCCGGCCUGAGAGGGUGACCGGCCACAUUGGGACUGAGAUACGGCCCAGACUCGUACGGGAGGCAGCAGUGGGGAAUAUUGCGCAAUGGGCGGAAGCCUGAUGCAGCAACGCCGCGUGCGGGAUGACGGCCUUCGGGUUGUAAACCGCUUUCGCCUGUGACGAAGCGUGAGUGACGGUAAUGGGUAAAGAAGCACCGGCUAACUACGUG